UGAAUUAUAUGCAUGAAAAAUAUGCAAUUUAAAAUAACUCUAAUUUACAUUGAUUUAACUUUUAAUCUAUUAUAAUAAAGUCUAUUUUAUAUGCUAACAAUUAAAAAAUAUAUAUUUUUACGUAUUCUAUUUAAUUAAAGCAAUUAUUUUUAUUUCUUAUAUUAUUUCCUUCUUUUUCAAAUGCUAUCUACUCUUUUUUUUACUUAUCUUUCAUAGAAUUCGCCAAUUUAAGUGCUUGGUACGUAGAUGUAUUGCGUUUGGGUACGAAUAAUCGGACACGUGUUAGAGGGGCUAGGAGCGAUUUAGGUAACAAUGAUCUCAAGCAACACAAAUCUAUUUGGUAGCCAAAAGGAGAAAGAGGUUGAUACAAUCAACUUGUUCUCUAAAAGCUACUUCUUGCCUCUUUCUGUUUGUGCCAUAUGUUUUCUCCUUAAAAUGGUAUCUUUGCAUUUACUUCACAUUAUUAGACAUGCAUGUGCCAUAUUCUAUUAUCACCAUUAAGCAAGCAAAUAUCAAGAGUGAAGAACACAUUACUACAUUAGCAACAAGAAGAAACGUAAUCAACUAUGAUUUGAGAUUUCUUAGAUAAAAUUAGGGGAUGAAAAACUCAACAAACAACAAUAUAACAAAAUAAACUCAACAAACAACAAUAUAACAAAAU
Molecule: unclassified non-coding RNA, 661 nt
Filed under: Hevea brasiliensis (rubber tree)
Lineage: Eukaryota; Viridiplantae; Streptophyta; Magnoliopsida; Malpighiales; Euphorbiaceae
Source: RNAcentral